Molecule: long non-coding RNA, 904 nt
Organism: Drosophila willistoni
Lineage: Eukaryota; Metazoa; Arthropoda; Insecta; Diptera; Drosophilidae
Exons: 3
Source: RefSeq, a predicted model, not a curated record
AUUUGGCAGGUCUCUUCGUAGAGGUUUAGUGGCCAGGGCUGCAGCAUGGUGGAGGGAGUCGCUGAGGGUGUUUUGGAACAGUUUAAUGUUAGAUCCUACAGGCAAAAGUCUUCGAUUGUCAGGAAGUAAGUUUGGGUGCUGGUCCAUCGUGAUGUGUACAAAAACAGAAUAAACUCCAAAGUCAAUGGCUGAGGGAUUUUUUCGCCGGUCGUGUGGGAAAUGAGUAGGACCACCCGUCGCCAGGAUGUCCAGUUUCUUGUCAGCCUGGAUCACAUCAAGGAGAGUUCUGCCGCGUUUACAUGACCUUGAAUUACCCCACUUUUUAAGGUAAGGCGUUUGAUCCGCCUGGCCUCAGUCUUUCGAUUGAGGCAGCUUUUUAUUUUUUGCCCUUUCACCUACAAGGGUAUAUAGCAAAAAUUAAAAUUUAAAAGGCCGUUACAGCAGCAGGGGCGGGGGGAUUAAAAUUAUCUUAAAACUAGAUUAAUACUAAAUAAAAAAUAUACAAUAAGACAUUAGAUUAACAUUUAGUUUUUAGCGAUUUAGGUAAGAUAGUUUGUAGUAUGAUAGAUUUAAGAUUAUGUUACUUUUAGCAUAAGUAGUCAAGUAGGUAGCAAUUUUUUAAUAAUAAACUUGGCGAAUAAGAAUUUGGUGCUAAGGUGGCUACAAAAACGUGGCGAUUAAUGUCGGGGGAAAAAACUGGUUUUCCCCCACACUGGAGAAAAAAGUAGGGAGACCCAUAUUUUGGGUCUGAGUAACACUAGUUUUUUAGCUUGGCCGUUGGCGCAUCAAUUGCGAGCAAGGCUUAGCUUUAAAGGCUAAAAGUUUUAGAGCAGUUAGCUUUUAGUUGAGUUAGCUUUAUAGGCUAGAAGUUUUAGAGCAAUUAGCUUUUAGUGGAGAAAAACAU